UUGCUUUAGCAGCACAUAAACUAAAAUUGGAAAGAUACAGAGAAUAUUAAUAUGGCCUCUGCACAAGGAUGACACGCAAAUUUGUGAAGUGUUGCAUAUUUUA
Erinaceus europaeus (western European hedgehog) is the source of this 103-nucleotide non-coding RNA. Lineage: Eukaryota; Metazoa; Chordata; Mammalia; Eulipotyphla; Erinaceidae. The record is from Rfam.